RNAcentral lists this ribosomal RNA (422 nucleotides) under uncultured prokaryote. RNAcentral's name for it is "bacterial SSU rRNA". It matches the Rfam family "Bacterial small subunit ribosomal RNA", at positions 355 to 774 of the family's 1533-position model. The record is from RNAcentral.
UGAGGAAUAUUGGUCAAUGGGUGCAAACCUGAACCAGCCAUGCCGCGUGAAGGAUGAAGGCUCUACGAGUCGUAAACUUCUUUUAUGAGGGAAUAAACUACUCUACGUGUAGGGUAUUGAAGGUACUUCAGGAAUAAGCAUCGGCUAACUCCGUGCCAGCAGCCGCGGUAAUACGGAGGAUGCAAGCGUUAUCCGGAUUUAUUAGGGUUAAAGGGUGUGUAGGCGGACAAGUAAGUCAGCGGUGAAAUCCUACAGCUUAACUGUAGAACUGCCAUUGAUACUGCAAGUCUUGAAUGCAAAUGAGGUAGGCGGAAUAUGUAAUGGAGCGGUGAAAUGCUUAGAUAUUACAUAGAACACCAAUUGCGAAGGCAGCUUACUAAAAUGUGAUUGACGCUGAGACACGAAAGCGUGGGGAGCGAACA